This is a long non-coding RNA of Cololabis saira (Pacific saury), 1123 nucleotides long. RefSeq lists it as uncharacterized. The record is from RefSeq and is a predicted model, not a curated record. The transcript is spliced from 3 exons. NCBI's taxonomy places the organism in Eukaryota, Metazoa, Chordata, Actinopteri, Beloniformes, Belonidae.
CAGGAGUGACAUGGACAGAGCGGAGCAGAAGAAGAAGACCUGCACUUCGGAGUUACCUCGUGAUGUUUACGUUUGCUGUUCCUUGAAUAAAGUGAAGUAAAAGACAUACGAAGUUGUCUUAUUUCAGGACACAACAAGUUGUGACAAUGCAUCACUCCAUUUUUCCAUCGAGUGAGGACUAUAAAGUGGAGCGCUGCACAGUUUGUUGCAAGCUUUUUCAUUGCCCCCUUUGCCCAAAAUAUAAACCCAGCCAAAGAGGAAGGCUCCAUAAACAUCUGGAUGUACAUUGCAAAAAUGCCAUCACAUUCAAAGAUCAAAAGAUCUGCAAAUGCAGUUUAAAUUGCAGAAGCACCUCACAUUUCCAUUGUCCCAUUUGUGACAAAACCAUCAUAAGAAGAGCGGACAUGGAGAAACAUCUGGAGACUUGUCAAAUUUUGAACACAUCUGCUGCACCCAACCCCCUCCUUCUUCCACCAUCCACUCUUCCACAAGAUGUUCCCUGUGCCCCACCUACCACCUCCUCCGCUGCCCAGUCUACCAACUCCUCCACUGCCCAGUCUACCAACUCCUCCACUGCCCAGCCUACCACCUCCUCCACUGCCCAGUCUACCACCUCCUCCGCUGCCCAGUCUACCAACUCCUCCGCUGCCCAGCCUACCAACUCCUCCGCUGCCCAGUCUACCAACUCCUUCUCUAUCCAGCACACUACAAGUUAUAAGAAGGCAAAAUGUUCUCAUUGCGGCCUAAUUUCUAUCUUUUUCAUAGGAUGAAGUGGCGGCCAGGAUACUCCACGACUGCAAAAAUGCCGCAGAGUGGGUUGAAACCAACCAACAUUUGUUUUCAGGGGUGGUGGAGUUUCCAAGUGUCCUCACCAUGGGAGAGGAACAAGUGGAAGAGGUUCUGGGGCAGUACCGAAGGCUUUGGGAUGAUGCAGAAUUUGGCCAGCUUGAUGAACAGGAGAAAGAAGACAUGCUGGACAAUUUCAAAUUUAAAUUUGAAAGUGUUGAAGAAGACAUGUGGGUAUUUUGUGGGGAGAUUAUUGAUAACAGAGGAUACUCAACCUACACCGAAGCUCAAGUGAAGGAGUAGGGUAAUAGGAUGGAUUGUGUAAUAAAAAGCUGAA